Molecule: long non-coding RNA, 816 nt
Filed under: Homo sapiens (human)
Lineage: Eukaryota; Metazoa; Chordata; Mammalia; Primates; Hominidae
Description: HSALNT0407824
Source: RNAcentral
CGCCCGCCUCAGCCUCCCAAAGUGCUGGGAUUACAGGUGUAAGCCACCGUGCCCAGCUUAUUUUUACUAUUUUUUUGAGAGAGAAUCUCACUCUGUCACCCAGGCUGGAGUGCAGUGGCACGAUCUUGGCUGACUGCAACCUCCGCCUCCUAAGUUUCAAGCAAUUCUCCUGCCUCCUGCCUCAGCCUCCUGAGUAUCUGGGACCAUAGGCACGCACUACCACACCUGGCUAAUUUUUGUAUUUUUAGUAGAGACGGAGUCUCACCAUGUUGGCCAGGCUGGUCUCAAAUUCCUGACCUCAGGUGAUCCGCCUGCCUCUGCCUCCCAAAGUGCUGGGAUUAUAGGUGUGAGCCACCAUGCCCGGCCGGUUAUCCAGUUUUUAAAUCUCAUUGCUUUAAACUUUCUCAUAUAUGAAUUUUUUUUUUCGGUUAUUGAGACAGAGUCUCGCUUUGUCAUCCAUGGAGGCUGGACUGCAGUGGCAGUGGCAUGAACAUGGCUCACUGCCAUCUUGACCUCCCAGGCUCAAGGGAUCCUCUUGCCUCAGCCCCCCAAGUAGCUGGGACCAUGAGUGCGUGUCACCAUGUCUGGUUAAUUUUUGUAUUUUUGUAGAGAUGGUGUUUCACCAUGUUGCCCAGGCUGGUCUUGAACUCCUGAGCUCAAGUGAUCCUCCCAUCUUGGCCUCCCAAAGUACUGGGAUUACAGGUGUGAGCUACCGUGCCUGGCCGACUAAUUUUUGAAAACCAUAUUAUGGGCCAGGUGCAGUGGCUCACGCAGGUAAUCCCAGCACUUUGGGAGGCCAAGGCAGGCAGAUCACGA